UUCGUACUCCCUCCGUCUCAAAAUGCUUGUCUUUAAUUUGUUUAGAUAUGAACGUAUCUAGUCAUGUAUUAGUAUUUAGAUACAUCCAUUUUUAGACAAACCUAAGACAAGAAUUUUGGGACGGAGGGAGUAUUAG
This is a non-coding RNA of Hordeum vulgare subsp. vulgare (domesticated barley), 136 nucleotides long. The record is from Rfam. NCBI's taxonomy places the organism in Eukaryota, Viridiplantae, Streptophyta, Magnoliopsida, Poales, Poaceae.